RNAcentral lists this ribosomal RNA (402 nucleotides) under uncultured bacterium. RNAcentral's name for it is "bacterial SSU rRNA". It matches the Rfam family "Bacterial small subunit ribosomal RNA", at positions 355 to 774 of the family's 1533-position model. The record is from RNAcentral.
UGGGGAAUCUUGCACAAUGGGGGCAACCCUGAUGCAGCGACGCCGCGUGAGCGAUGAAGCCCUUCGGGGCGUAAAGCCCUUUCGACCGGAACGAUAAUGACGGUACCGGGAGAAGAAGCUGCGGCUAACUACGUGCCAGCAGCCGCGGUAAUACGUAGGCAGCAAGCGUUGUUCGGAGUUACUGGGCGUAAAGAGUGCGUAGGCGGUUUUCUAAGUUCGGUGUGAAAUCUCCCGGCUUAACUGGGAGGGUGCGCCGACGACUGGGAAGCUGGAGUGUGGGAAAGGCAGGCGGAAUUCCUGGUGUAGCGGUGAAAUGCGUAGAUAUCAGGAGGAACACCGGCGGUGUAGACGGCUUGCUAGACCAUAACUGACGCUGAGGCACGAAAGCGUGGGUAGCAAACA